This 239-nucleotide ribosomal RNA is filed under the name uncultured bacterium. Its description in RNAcentral is "partial 16S ribosomal RNA". It matches the Rfam family "Bacterial small subunit ribosomal RNA", at positions 92 to 334 of the family's 1533-position model. The record is from RNAcentral.
CGAGUGGCGGACGGGUGAGUAACGCGUGGGAAUCUGCCUACUAGCGGGGGAUAGCCCGGAGAAAUCCGGAUUAAUACCGCAUACGCCCUACGGGGGAAAGCUGGGGAUCUUCGGACCUGGCACUAGUAAAUGAGCCCGCGUUGGAUUAGCUUGUUGGUGGGGUAACGGCCUACCAAGGCAACGAUCCAUAGCUGUUCUGAGAGGAAGAUCAGCCACACUGGGACUGAGACACGGCCCAG